CUAAUGAGUUGUUUUGUCGCUUUUCAUUAUAGAUCUUAUGGGACUUUUUUUCUACACAAAAUAGGCUCCAUAAU
This 74-nucleotide transfer RNA is filed under the name Streptococcus pneumoniae SPNA45. Its description in RNAcentral is "tRNA-Pro-TGG". It matches the Rfam family "Streptococcus RNA 266", at positions 1 to 73 of the family's 112-position model. Lineage: Bacteria; Bacillati; Bacillota; Bacilli; Lactobacillales; Streptococcaceae. The record is from RNAcentral.